GCCUUCCCCAUACAAAUCUCAAGGUGAUGUACAAUAAAAGAACUUAAAAAUCCCAGUUAAAAGCAACACAGAAAAUAGCAGAUAUAUUUGAAAAGGAAAAACAACAACCCACCCAAAAUAAGACACCCAUGGCAGAAAUCCAUUGAUCCAGCUGGGAAGAUCAAAAAUGUUCUUCUGUUGUUUCCAGAAAGUGUUGACAGUGGGCUCCUCCUGUAUCUCGACAGGAAUGCUAUUUAACAGAAUGGGGGCAGCCACGAUGAAAGCCCUGCACUAAGCAAAGGGAGAUUUAGGGGAGCGUGACCAGUUCACCCACAGGGUGCCACAGGGGGAGCUACAAGGACUUAGAACAGAAGGUGAGGUGGGGAACUGAAUUUUGGUUUUGCACAGGGCGCUGCUGAAAUUCGAAAGCCAGAAGUCCACCACUUCUCCAAGUUACUGUGGAGUGGGCUUCUAAGAUCUUUGGACUUGGAUAAACUCUCCUGCAGAACAGUGGGAUACGUAAGGGAUAAAGGAGUUCUCAAGUAACCUGGUGCUCCUCAUAUGUUAGCACCAACACCUUGAACUUUGCCUGGUAGCAGAUUGGCAGCCAGUGCAAUCUCACAACCAAGUUGCUGUACACUGGCUGCACUUUGCCUUCAUAGCCAUCCCAUUAGCUUGGUUAAAGAUACACUAGGAAGUAAGCAAACAUGAUUGCUGUAAAAUAGAUUGUCAGCCAUUUCAAAUAAAUCUGAGCGAUCGCAAAUGUGAAACAUGUGAAUGGCAUGUUGCCUUAAUGUUCAUGUGCCACGUUUUCUUGGGGCUGAUUUACAGAGGGUUAAUUAAGCAUGUGGCAACAAAACCAAGAGUCCUGUGGAAUUUUAAAAGCGCAACGUUAUGACGUAAGCUUCAGGGACUAGAUAGGGCCCACUUGGUCAGAUGUAUAGAGUAUCAACCUCAGUUGUCAGAUAUAUCCGGACAUGGGUGGAAGUAAUGUAAAGGUGAAGCUAAAUAGCAAGGGAAUGAAUAAACCAGUCUGUGGCUGUGUAUGCGCCAUCUUUUUAAAGCACAUGGCUUCUUCCAAAGAAUCAUGGAAAUUGUAGUUUAAUUCUCACAAAGCAGUUCCCAGCAUCCUUAACAAACAAGUUCCCAGGAUUCCUGGGAAAUUCUGCUUCAUAUAUAUAUGGUGUGUGCACACAGCCUCUGACAACUUAAACGUAUGCAAAAUGAUGCUCAUGACAUCAGUAAAUGGUGACAUCACAACCACCUUCGCUUUGCUAAACAAAAUAACACCACUUUUGCCACAGGAAAUUACUGGGUUAUAUCCACUGGCUAGUGCUAUUCAUAUUCAUUAGUUUCAAUGGAUCUACUCAGAGUAGGACUAGCAUUGGACAGAACCCAUUUUUUUUUCUAUUCCAACCCUAAUGAACAGAAUCAAACUUACCAAGAAGGGUGGAAGCAAGUCUUAAAAGUUAGUAAGUUGCUUCUUACAAUAACUCCGUUGGAUUCUAUUUUAAGAGAUUCUAAG
Molecule: non-coding RNA, 1504 nt
Organism: Podarcis lilfordi (Lilford's wall lizard)
Lineage: Eukaryota; Metazoa; Chordata; Lepidosauria; Squamata; Lacertidae
Source: the annotation of a GenBank genome assembly